AGUGAACGCUGGCGGUAGGCCUAACACAUGCAAGUCGAACGGCAGCACAGUAAGAGUUUGCUCUUACGGGUGGCGAGUCGCGGACGGGUGAGGAAUACAUCGGACUCUACUUUUUCGUGGGGGAUAACGUAGGGGAACUUACGCUAAUACAGCAUACGACCUACGGGUGAAAGCAGGGGAUCUUCGGACCUUGCGCGAUUGAAUGAGCCGAUGUCGGAUUAGCUAGUUGGUGGGGUAAAGGCCCACCAAGGCGACGAUACGUAGCUGGUCUGAGAGGAGGAUCAGCCACACGGGAACUGAGACACGGUCCAGACGCCUACGGGAGGCAGCAGUGGGGAAUAUUGGACAAUGGGCGCAAGCCUGAUCCAGCCAUACCGCGUGUGUGGAGAAGGCCUUCGGGUUGUAAAGCCCUUUUGUUGGGAAAGAAAAGCAGCAGGUUAAUACCCCGCUGUUCUGACGGUACCCAAAGAAUAAGCACCGGCUAACUUCGUG
This 492-nucleotide ribosomal RNA is filed under the name uncultured bacterium. RNAcentral's name for it is "partial 16S ribosomal RNA". It matches the Rfam family "Bacterial small subunit ribosomal RNA", at positions 29 to 507 of the family's 1533-position model. The record is from RNAcentral.